GGAAAACGAAGCUAAAAAUGGCGAUUGGACGAUUCUAGGACGACGAUGAAAAGCCGAGCACAUGGGGUUGUGGUAAAUCAAUGAAACGAGAAUCCCACAGCAAUGAAUCAAGCUUUGGAACAUGUAAUGUGAAAAUUGCGCAUGUGCCGGCGCAUUAAACAAUCGCGGUGGAUGGUGGAGACUAGAAUCUCUCGGAAGAAUCUGGAUAUUUU
This 212-nucleotide unclassified non-coding RNA is filed under the name Hevea brasiliensis (rubber tree). The record is from RNAcentral. Lineage: Eukaryota; Viridiplantae; Streptophyta; Magnoliopsida; Malpighiales; Euphorbiaceae.